CCUACGGGAGGCAGCAGUGAGGAAUAUUGGUCAAUGGGCGUAAGCCUGAACCAGCCAAGUCGCGUGAGGGAUGAAGGUUCUAUGGAUCGUAAACCUCUUUUAUAAGGGAAUAAAAUGCGGGACGUGUCCCGUUUUGUAUGUACCUUAUGAAUAAGGAUCGGCUAACUCCGUGCCAGCAGCCGCGGUAAUACGGAGGAUCCGAGCGUUAUCCGGAUUUAUUGGGUUUAAAGUGUGCGUAGGCGGCCUUUUAAGUCAGCGGUGAAAGUCUGUGGCUCAACCAUAGAAUUGCCGUUGAAACUGGGAGGCUUGAGUAUGUUUGAGGCAGGCGGAAUGCGUGGUGUAGCGGUGAAAUGCUUAGAUAUCACGCAGAACCCCGAUUGCGAAGGCAGCCUGCUAAGCCAUGACUGACGCUGAUGCACGAAAGCGUGGGGAUCAAACAGGAUUAGAUACCCCUGUAGUC
Molecule: ribosomal RNA, 460 nt
Filed under: uncultured bacterium
Lineage: Bacteria
Description: partial 16S ribosomal RNA
Rfam family: Bacterial small subunit ribosomal RNA
Source: RNAcentral